This 420-nucleotide ribosomal RNA is filed under the name Clostridioides difficile. RNAcentral describes it as "bacterial LSU rRNA". It matches the Rfam family "Bacterial large subunit ribosomal RNA", at positions 1840 to 2259 of the family's 2925-position model. The record is from RNAcentral. Lineage: Bacteria; Bacillati; Bacillota; Clostridia; Peptostreptococcales; Peptostreptococcaceae.
GAUGUAUAGGAGCUGACGCCGGACCGGUGCGGGAAGGGUAGGGGCAUGUGUAAGAGAAAUGGAAGCAGUGAACUGAAGCCCCAGUAAACGGGGUCCGUAAAUAUAACGGGCAUAAGGUAGCGAAGUUCCUUGUCGGUGAAGUUCCGAACCGGAAGAAAGGCGUAACGAUUUGGGCACUGUCUCAACAACAGACUCGGUGAAAUUGUAAUUCCGGUGAAGAUGCAGGAUACCUGCGACAGGACGGAAAGACCCCAUGGAGCUUUACGGUAGCUUGACAUUGGGUCUUGGUACUACAUGUACAGGAUAGGUGGGGGGCUUUGAAACCAGGACGCCAGUUUUGGCGGAGCCAUCCUUGGGAAAGAAGACUUGUAGUACGGGGACGCUAACCCUAGGCAGGGGAUCAGGUCUUGGGACCUGUCU